CACCUCUUCCUCCGUAGCUACCUUCAAUAACCUUUGAUUCAUCUGAGGAGAAAUUGAUGAUCCUAUCUCCUCCAGGAAACUAUCAAAUUCCGUAGGAUUAGUAGAAUUAAACAAACCAUCAAAAUAAUCUACCGCCACCUUCUCAACACCAUUUUCAUCUGUGAUCUAAUUACCUGCUUCAUCAUGGAGGCCCACUAUUUUAUUUCUAAUCCGCAUUUGCUUUGUCAGAGCAUGAUAAAACUUGGUAUUCAGAUCCCCGGAUGAGUACCACAUAUUUCGGCUCUUCUGAUGCCAAUACUCCUCCUCAUCCUUAUAGACUUCCUGUAAUUUCCUGGAAAUCUCAAGAAUAUCCUCUUGGGUUCUAUUGUU
This 369-nucleotide long non-coding RNA is filed under the name Brassica napus (rape). RNAcentral describes it as "long non-coding RNA (BNAP_LNC020909)". The record is from RNAcentral. Lineage: Eukaryota; Viridiplantae; Streptophyta; Magnoliopsida; Brassicales; Brassicaceae.